Molecule: ribosomal RNA, 411 nt
Filed under: uncultured Porphyromonas sp.
Lineage: Bacteria; Pseudomonadati; Bacteroidota; Bacteroidia; Bacteroidales; Porphyromonadaceae
Description: bacterial SSU rRNA
Rfam family: Bacterial small subunit ribosomal RNA
Source: RNAcentral
CCUACGGGAGGCAGCAGUGAGGAAUAUUGGUCAAUGGGCGCAAGCCUGAACCAGCCAUGUAGCGUGAAGGAUGACGGUUUUUUUGAUUGUAAACUUCUUUUCUGUGCGAUUAAAGUGUGGCAUUUAUGCCAUAUUGCAGUUAUCUCAGGAAUAAGCAUCGGCUAACUCCGUGCCAGCAGCCGCGGUAAUACGGAGGAUGCGAGCGUUAUCCGGAUUUAUUGGGUUUAAAGGGAGCGUAGAUGGUUUUUUAAGUCAGCUGUCAAAUGUAUGGGCUCAACCCUUAUUAUCAGUUGAAACUGUAAGACUUGAGUGCGGUGUGGGUACAUGGAAUUCGUGGUGUAGCGGUGAAAUGCAUAGAUAUCACGAAGAACUCCGAAAGCGUAGGCAUUGUACCAUAGCGCCACUGACAUU